Molecule: ribosomal RNA, 316 nt
Filed under: uncultured bacterium
Lineage: Bacteria
Description: bacterial SSU rRNA
Rfam family: Bacterial small subunit ribosomal RNA
Source: RNAcentral
UGCAGAAGAAGCACCGGCUAACUCCGUGCCUAGCAGCCGCGGUAAUACGGAGGGUGCGAGCGUUAAUCGGAAUUACUGGCGUAAAGCGCAUGCACGGUGGUUGUUAAGUCAGAUGUGAAAGCCCGGGGCUCAACCUCGGAAUUGCAUUUGAAACUGGCAAACUAGAGUACUGUAGAGGGGGUAGAAUUUCAGGUGUAGCGGUGAAAUGCGUAGAGAUCUGAAGGAAUACCGGUGGCGAAGGCGGCCCCCUGGACCAGAUACUGACACUCAGAUCGCGAAAGCGUGGGGAGCAAACAGGAUUAGAUACCCUCGGUAG